This 292-nucleotide ribosomal RNA is filed under the name uncultured bacterium. Its description in RNAcentral is "partial 16S ribosomal RNA". The record is from RNAcentral.
GGACUACUCGGGUAUCUAAUCCCGUUCGCUCCCCUAGCUUUCGUCCCUGAGCGUCAGUAAUGAGCCAGUAAAGCGCCUUCGCGACUGGUGUUCCUCCCGAUCUCUGCAGAUUUCACCCUUACACCGGGAAUUCCCUUUACCCCUCUCAUACUCUAGUUCGGAAGUUUCAAAUGCAGUUCUACAGUUGAGCUGUAGGAUUUCACAUCUGACUUUCCGAACCGCCUACGGACCCUUUACGCCCAAUAAAUCCGAACAACGCUUGCCACCUCUGUAUUACCGCGGCUGCUGGCAC